AACGUAGGACGCAAGCGUUAUCCGGAGUUACUGGGCGUAAAGCGUGCGCAGGCGGUCUGUUAAGACCGAUGUGAAAUCCCCGGGCUUAACCUGGGAACUGCAUUGGUGACUGGCAGGCUUUGAGUGUGGCAGAGGGAGGUAGAAUUCCACGUGUAGCAGUGAAAUGCGUAGAGAUGUGGAGGAAUACCGAUGGCGAAGGCAGCCUCCUGGGCCAACACUGACGCUCAUGCACGAAAGCGUGGGGAGCAAACAGG
This 254-nucleotide ribosomal RNA is filed under the name uncultured bacterium. RNAcentral's name for it is "partial 16S ribosomal RNA". It matches the Rfam family "Bacterial small subunit ribosomal RNA", at positions 524 to 776 of the family's 1533-position model. The record is from RNAcentral.